This 589-nucleotide long non-coding RNA is filed under the name Homo sapiens (human). Its description in RNAcentral is "non-protein coding lnc-GCLM-8:1". The record is from RNAcentral. Lineage: Eukaryota; Metazoa; Chordata; Mammalia; Primates; Hominidae.
UUCCCACAGGAGUUAAAGUAUCUAGUUGACUAGCAACACUACAUGGAGGUAAUAUUAAAUGAUCUCCAGCUGUAUUUUGAGCCUUAGGCUGUAUUUCUCUAUUUAUAGUUGAGGGCCUAAUAGGAAUUGUACUAGUUAACUCAUCACUAGACAUUGUUCUUUGUAGCACAUAUUAUGUUGUAGCACAUUUCUACUAUGUUCUAUCAACAGGAGCAGUUUUCAUUAUUAUAGGAGGGUUUGUUCACUGAUUCUCACAAUUUUUAGGUUACACACUGAACCUGAGCCAAAAUUCAUUUUACAAUUAUAUUUGUGCGUAUAAACCUGACUUUCUGCAACAUUUCCUUGGUUUAUCCAGCAUAUCAUAACAAUAGUCUAAUUAUCCUGAUGCAUAUACAACAUGAAAAAUCAUCUUAUCAAUAGGCUCCUCUAUUUCACUAACAGAAUAUUAAAAAUUUUCAUAAUUUGAGAAGACUUUACUUCAAAAUGAGAAGCCUCAGUAGUGGGGCUUUCAUUACAAACUUUGAAUGACCUUAUGGCUGCCCACCCCCAUAUCAUGCAUUUGAAGAGCCUGCUUACGUAAAAGCUUAAG